GUUGCUACUGCUGCUGGAAAGGCAGUUCCAGGCGCGGCCACCUCUGCGGGCCCGGCUGGAGAGCCCCGGCGUUGGCGUAUCUGGGAACCGACGUCCGCGCGCCGCUGGCUGGAAUGCGCCCGGCUCGCCUCCGCGGCGCUGUGAGUCCCCGAGAGGAGGCUGGCGGUCUCUGGGCGUUCUUCCUCGCACCCAGGCCCUUCGCUGUCCUUGUCGAGAUUGAUUUCUCUUGCCUACCCGCGCUCGCCCACCCUGAUCCGGGCUGGGAGUGGUCCCUCAGCAAAGCCAGACGGAUAUUUAGCAGUGAUACCGGCAGGCGCCUGGUCCCCGGCUCAGAAUCUGUCAGCCUCAAACAUUCAUCGACAACCUACGAUGGCCUGGCACAGAGCUGAGAACCUCCAGGGGUGUCAGAGACGAACCAGAACACCUUCCAGGGAGGCCUUCACCUUGACCCCAUAUUCGAGCUUUCACCUUGACCCCACAUUCAGAGAGCUCUCAAAUGCCUUACGGUGACUUCCAGUCUGGGCUUGCAGUGUGAUUAUAGAAACCCGACGCACAGGUUUGUUGGAAAACAGUAGAGCUGAGGCCCAGAAGUCACUCACUACGAGAUAGUUGUGCUGCACUGUGGAUUACGCUUGUAUUCCCAGCACCCGUGACGGUCACUCACACGCGUCUUCAGCCACCGUGUGUCCAGCUGAAUUCAGUUCAUGCUCCGUACGGCCCUAAAUCAGAGAACACAGUAGAGACCCAGCCGGGCCCUGAGUGACACAGGUUGCAGCCUUCUCCCUGCCCGUGCCCCUCAUCCGAGCACUCCACCCCCCAGCCCUCGCUGCGGACCUCACCCGUGAGUGGAAGGGCAGUGACGCCAGCUGCCCCUGAUCUGAAAUGCGCUUGCAAGUUUUGACACCCUUAGACGUCCGAACAAUGCACAGCUGUCCUUGCUGCCAGUGUGCCGGGCAGUGGAGCCCCUACCGCAACGCGCAUCAGCCUCUGACUCACCUUUAGUCAUCUCUGACCCUCAUUUCUUUGCAAAGAGGUGACGGUCAUGCCCAACUCUGGGAAUGGUUGGGACAUAACUGAGACCAUACCUGAGGCGCACCUGGCAUGGGGCCACCCCCUGCGCCCUUCCCUUCUCUUCCCUUGGACGAUCAUUACCUGGCCCCAGGGCUUUACUCCCCUGACCCUAUUCAAAACUAACCUUAGACGACUCGCUGCUCAGCCCGGGGCUUGAGGUUCCUCCACGACCACCUGCUUCCCUUUGGUCCUUGCACCCCCCACUCCCAUCCUUCCCCCCCCCCCCCCCGGCUCCAGCCCGUGGGGGAGGGAGAUCAUCCCCCACAUCCGGCUCACCCCUUUCUCGAGACCUUUGCCCGGAGUGCCUGAAAGCAACAUGCCAGCAUCUUCCUGCCCGUCGACAGCUCCCCUUCCAUCAAGGCCAAUCGAGGCCCAGUCCCAGCUCCCCGGGCCUCAACGGAUGCUUUCUGCUCUGGCAUAGCCCUGUUUUUCCCUCGGAUAGAGCGCUCGCCAUACUGGGCCAUAUGUCACUUAUUAGCUGGGGCGAAGUUGCUUAAGCUCUCUGUGACUCAGUCUCUCUGUCUGCACUGGAGCUAAUAACUGCACUCUAACCCUAGAGUCGUUGCGGAGAGUAGAUAAGAACGUGCACAGGGCCCGCCGCAGAGUAAAUAGGCCAAUAAAUGUUAUUUUUUUUUUAUUGAGAUGGUUGGGGGGGGUGACGACAGGGCUCCCAACGGCCCUGACUCUCAGAGAAGGCAAGCCCAGACCGCCCCCCUCUCUCUCCACCCUGCCCAUAGCUCCUACGACACUGCUCUGCUGGGAGUGGAGGUCAGUGAUAUGCCUCAGAUUGAAGCUUCUCUGGCCCAUCAAACAAAUCGCAGUGAUCCUUUGUGGGUUCCCUUCGGCUCCAUUCACUGCGGUGCGUGGACGUUUCUGUGCCCGGGAAAUGGACCCCCAAGAGCUGGUGGAGGAGGAGCCUGUGAGGUCAGUCCUGUAAUCUGCUUUUCCAGAAGGAAGCAAAGGCCCGGACUGACAAAGCGACAUGCCCAAGGUCACACCAUUCCAGAGGGGAGCAGGAUUCUAGUCCUGAUCUGCCGGGCUCUGAGGGGAGGGCCGGGCCGAGGAUGGUGGGAGAAUUCCAGACUCUGGCCAGCUGCCCCUGCAUCCAGGGAGGCUGUGGGUGGGGUGGAAACAGCCACCAGAAGCCAGGGGCACGCGGCAAACAAGGGUACCAGGAAAUGAACCGGACCCAGGGUCCUUCCUCCCGGCCCGCCCUGUGCCCCUGGCCAACUGCCACCUCCCUUUGAGGCUUCUCCCUGCAAGAGAACAGAGAGAGCUGGGCCGGAGCCCAGGGAUGGCCCUAUACGGGGGGAGGGGGGGGGGGACCAGGAGGGUCUUGAAGCCCAGGAGGAGCCCUGCCAGGCCUAAGCGCCCCCUGUCCUGGGAAGAGAGAUAGAGAUCCCAGGGGUCUCAUCCUGUUUGUCUCAGAUGGAGCUCAGACUGGGGCCUCGCACAGAGAAGGCGCUCAAUAAAUGUGCGUCGAAAGGAGGUACAGCAGGUGUGCCGUCCAAACUGCGAGGCUGGAGGUGAAGAGGCCGGGUCCGGACACGGUUUCUGCCCCCGCCUCGUGACCCUGGACGAGCCUCAGAACGUCCCUAUCCGUCAGAUCAAGUUGUUAUCCUGGAAUGUGCACCAUCGCUUGGGUCCCUUCCAGCUCUGACAAUGCAGUUCUAUUCAUUCUUUUACUCACUCGCUAAUUUGUUGUCUCAGCGAAAUACAUCGUAGAGUCCGAGAAAUAUACUUUGGUACUAAUGAGGCAGUGGGCAGAGUGGCGGCAAUCGGCAAAGCUUGUGGGGGUGGAUAGUGACGGGUCCCCCUCUUGAGCAGGGACUCUGGGGUCAGAUGGCCUGGGUUCAGAUUCUCCCUCCAUGACCUGCUCACUGAGUAACCCUGGGCAAGUUACUUACUCACGUUGAACUUGGACUUCCUCAUCUGUAAGAUGGAGAUGAUAGGAGGAUAUACCUCAUAGGGUUAUUGUAAAAAUUAAAUGGGAUAAUACAAAUAAGUUGCUUAGGGAAAUAGUACACAGCAGGCGCCCAACAAGUCUUAGCUCUUCCCGUUCCUUAGAAGGCGAGCGAACUCCAGCAGACAAAGGGGGCUGCUAUGUGGGUGCAGGGGUAGGGGUGGGGGAAAGCAUCAGCACAGCGUGUGCUUAGAUACAGAGGCGGGAAAAUCCAGUACUGCCAAGGAGCACCAAGAGACCCGUCCAGACUAAGUGGGAAGAGGUAAGUUGGGCGCAGAUGGUGAGCGGCUUUGGUCAGGCUAAGAAACUUGGAUCUGAUCCUGUAGGUUGGCAUUUCCCAACUGCUGCUCCCCAGAAUUCCAUGAGCUGGUACUGGAUGUUUUAUAAAUAUUUCAGGGCACCCAGGUGGCUCAGUCAAUUAAGCGUCCGACUCCGGCUCAGGUCAUGAUCUCGUGGUACGCGAGUUCGAGCCCCGCGGUGGACUCUGGGCU
Long non-coding RNA from Felis catus (domestic cat), 3525 nucleotides. RefSeq lists it as uncharacterized. Lineage: Eukaryota; Metazoa; Chordata; Mammalia; Carnivora; Felidae. The transcript is spliced from 6 exons. The record is from RefSeq and is a predicted model, not a curated record.